AUUGCUUCUUGGUCUUUUGGCUAAAAUCAAGUGUAAUAUUUGUUUUUAUCAGUUCAAUAUCUGCUGUAGUCUUUAAAUGAGGAAAUUAUAUUAAACAGAUUUUUAGAACAGAAAGCUGGAAUAGGGGCUUGCUUCACACAUCAAUCUGGUAUUGCAGUAUCUCCAGGAAUAGUGCCCCUGUU
Small nuclear RNA from Neoarius graeffei (lesser salmon catfish), 182 nucleotides. RefSeq annotates it as U2 spliceosomal RNA. Lineage: Eukaryota; Metazoa; Chordata; Actinopteri; Siluriformes; Ariidae. The transcript has a single exon. The record is from RefSeq and is a predicted model, not a curated record.